Zea mays is the source of this 4685-nucleotide RNA transcript. RefSeq lists it as uncharacterized. Lineage: Eukaryota; Viridiplantae; Streptophyta; Magnoliopsida; Poales; Poaceae. The record is from RefSeq and is marked provisional. The transcript is spliced from 11 exons.
CACUUUGCUUUUUUUUUUUUGUAGUCGAUCUAUCCAACAAGCCCGGCCGGAGGUUUAAACUUAUCAAAUCACGUGAAAAGAUAGCUCGCCGACGCUGACGCAGUCCGGAAACGCGUCGCCCAGACGCCCACACAUCCAUCCACAACGGUAAAGCCGCCGCGGCGAUGUCUUCCGCACCCCCGCCUCCGCCGUCUCUGAACCCCGAAGUGCCCCCGCGCAUCGUCCGCGCCCCCCCGCGCCGGCCUCCUCCGCGCGCGCCCGGUCCGCCGCCUUGGGCGGAGCGUCGGCCUGCCGUGUCCGUCGACCUCGACCGCGGCCGUCGCUCGGUCCGCACCGAGGUGGACGGCGUCCGCGCCGCGUCGCUCCCUGCGCGACACCGCCUCCGCGUGGAGGGCAACCGGUGGCAGCGGGACUGGAAGGUGUCCGAGGUCGUCGCGCGCUUGCUCGCGCUGCCUCAUGCCGACGCGGACGCCGUCGACGCCGUGCUCAACUGCUGGGCCGGUCGCUUCGCACGCCGCAACUUCCCGCUGCUCAUCAGAGAAAUUGCAAUUUCUGGAUCCUUGAAACAUGCUGUGCAUGUGUUCCGCUGGAUGAAAAAUCAGGAGAACUACUGUGCUCGCAAUGACAUUUAUGGCAUGAUGAUUAGGUUACAUGCUAGACACAACAAGGUUGAUCAAGCACGUGGCCUGUUCUUUGAGAUGCAAGAAUGGCGGUGCAAGCCUAAUACUGAUACAUACAACUCUUUGAUCCAUGCUCAUGCUCGAGCUGGCCAGUGGUGUUGGGCCAUCAACAUUAUGGAUGAUAUGCAACGUGCCGCUAUACCUCCUAGCCGAACUACGUAUAAUAAUGUUAUAAAUGCAUGUGGAGCUGCUGGUAACUGGAAGAAAGCUUUAGAACUUUGUAAGAAGAUGACUGAAAAUGGUGUAGGGCCAGAUUUGAUCACACACAACAUUGUUUUGUCUGCUUUUAAGAAUGGAGCUCAGUACUCAAAAGCCAUAGCUUACUUUGAAAUUAUGAAAUCCUCUAAAGUUGCCCCUGAUACAUGCACUAUGAAUAUUGUGAUCCAUUGCCUUGUAAAGAUUGGGCUGUAUGGGGAAGCUAUUGAGUUGUUUAACUCAAUGAGGGAAAGAAGAACAACAUGUCAUCCAGAUGUCGUUACAUAUACUAGCAUAAUGUAUUCUUAUUCUGUUUGUGGGCAAGCUGAAAAUUGCAAGGCGGUCUUUGAUAUAAUGGUUGCUGAAGGUGUCAGACCUAAUAUUGUAUCCUACAAUGCACUUUUGGGUGCUUACGCCUCACAUGGUAUGCACACAGAGGCCUUGGAGACUUUUAAAUUACUGAAGCAAAAUGGGUUGAGACCUGAUAUAGUUUCCUAUACCUCCUUACUUAAUGCUUAUGGUAGAUCUGCACAGCCUGAGAAAGCUAGGGAGGUCUUUAAUGAAAUGAGGAAGAAUGCAUGCAAGCCAAAUAAAGUCAGUUACAAUGCACUUAUUGAUGCUUAUGGAUCUGCUGGAAUGUUGAAGGAAGCGAUUAGUCUGUUGCAUGAAAUGGAGCAAGAUGGCAUUCAACCGGAUGUUAUUUCAAUAAGUACUCUGUUAACAGCAUGUGGCCGCUGCAAGCAGCUAACUAAAAUUGACAUAAUUCUUGCAGCAGCUAAGUCUCGAGGGAUCCAACUAAAUACAGUUGCUUACAACUCAGGCAUCGGAAGUUAUUUAAGUUUGGGAGAUUAUAAGAAAGCUUUGGUGUUAUACACGUCAAUGAGGGCAGGCAAUGUGAAGCCAGAUGCUGUGACUUACAAUAUACUCAUUAGUGGAUCUUGUAAAUUGGGAAGGUAUGUAGAGUCUCUGAAAUUUUUUGAAGACAUGCUGGACCUGAAUAUUCAUUUGACCAAGGAAGUCUACUCAUCCGUGAUUUGCUCAUAUGUCAAACAGGGCAAAUUAACUGAAGCAGCAUCUACUUUUAAUUCUAUGAAAGAAACUGGUUGCUUCCCCGAUGUUUUGACAUAUACGACAUUAAUUAAAGCAUAUAGUGAUGAUGGGAGCUGGAGGAGAGCAUGGGACCUAUUCAAAGAGAUGGAAAAUAAUGGCACACAGCCAGAUGCUAUUGUCUGUUCAUCCCUCAUGGAAGCAUUGAAUAAGGGAGGUCAACCUGAAAGGGUCCUUCAGUUGAUAGAAUUCAUGAAGCAAAAAAAGAUUCAAUUGAACCAAAAGGCUUAUUUUGAGAUAAUAUCUUCAUGCACCAUGUUACGAGACUGGAAAACAGCAAGUCAAAUAAUUGAACAUUUGGAUUCCUCUCUCUCAUCUAUUUCUUUUGGCACACUCAACCAUAUUUUAAAUUUUCUUGGAAAAUGUGGCAGGACAGAGAGCAUGAUGAAGCUGUUCUAUAAGAUGGUGACUUCAUGCUCUACUGUGGGCCUUUCUACUUAUACGAUUCUGCUGAGAAAUCUCUUAAUUGUGGGGAAAUGGAGAAAGUAUGUUGAGGUUUUGCAGUGGAUGGAAGAUGCUGGAGUCUGCCCAACACUCUAUAUGUAUCAAAGCGUGCUUCCAUAUAUCUGGAGAGACAACAGUAUGGACUAUGUUACUCUCAUGCAAGAAAAAAUAAAUGCAUUGAGAGAGAAGGUAACAUGAGCUUCAGAUAUGCAUUUGCUCGCUUGGUAUGAACUAUGAAGUACUAGAAGUCCAUAACCGAAUACUGAAGGUAGCUUUAGAAUGACACUAGCAGGAUUCAGGUAGGACAUAAUUGUGAGUCUGCCUGCCCUAGUCGGGAUUGAAGCAACGAAUCCCUCUUCAGAAAAAAAAAUGGAUAUGGCACUUCAAGAACUUAAGAAACGACAUGAUUCUAUAGUUGAUAAAAGGUAAGUCACAUGUGAAAAGAAUGACCUCAUGAGUCAUUUGCUAUGGCUUCUAAUGAUCACAGAAAUUGGGCCAUUUGUUGCUCGUAUAGCUUGGCUUAGAAAAAACCAUGUUACUCUCGUAGUUCGAACUCAUCUUUUUUCUACGACAUUCUAAUUUAUCAAUGCCUUGGAAAUAAACAGCUUUCCCAUCUAGUGUUAUGGGGCGCGUUUGUUUGCCCGGACGUAGUCUGCUCGAACAGGAAGGGAAGGUGACUAGGUGAGAGCCGGUCAGACCGUGUUUGUUUGUCUCAACAGCUCCCCCACGCAGCAUAGGCAGGGGAAAAUGCUCAAACCGUUCUCUCUUUUUGAAGAAAACAAGUACACCAGCACAUUUGUAGAGCAUCAACCAACAAUCCAACAUAUUACAAAGUUUCAAAGUACAAUUUAGUUUACUAAUUUGGUUCACAUCACUCAUAAGUACGGCCCUAGAAUUGUUUUACUCCACUAACGUACCCUACAAUUGUUUAACUUGACCAACCUCAACUAUAUGACGAUGCUUUUUUUUAGCUGGCCUAUUUUGUUGGUGCACGUAAGGGCAUGAUACAUGAUGGGUGAUGCCAAUUUUUGAAAAAAAACUAUGAAGCUUUUGCUAUUCGCCUCCCUAAUCUUGAUUAUGGUGAUUUUUCUGUCAAAAAGAUGAUCAACAAGGUUUGAGAGUUCAACAAAUUUAUGAAAGACUUCAGACUUAAACUUUAAAGAAUAAAUUCGUGAGAGUUUACUGUAAUCGUCAAUGAGGCUCACAAAGUAUUGUUUGUCUCCAAGAGAUUUAGGAGCAUCCCCCAAACAUCAAAAUAUACAAGUUUUAGAUGAUGACUCAAAACACUAUUAAAUUUGAAAUAAGGCAAUUGAUGACAUUUGCCUUUUUAACAAGUAUCACAUACGAUAUUAAUUAUUAUUGGACUCUUUAGAACAUGAUAAAUUAAAGUUAUUGAUAAUUUUUUACUAUAGGAGUUGAUGGGUGACCAAGAUGACUAUGCUACCGUGCUACGGAUUUACUGACUGCAAAGGCCUACUUGAGCGAAUUCAAUAGUAGGGGAUAUAUCAUUGUGAAACCGUCCUCUAAGUAGAGGUCUCCUAAUGACCUAAUCCUUGAUAAAAAAAAUACUCCCUCCAUUCAUAAAUAUAUGACAACAUUGACUUUAAAAAAACUUUGACUACCCAUAUUAUUCAAAAAAAUAAUAAGUUAUUAUUUUUUGUGAUUUGUUUUAUUAUUUAAGAUAGUUUGUGCUUGACUUAAAAUUUUAUAUUUUUGAAUAAAUAUUUUAAAUAUAAGACGAGUGGUCAAAAUUUUUAAAAAAGUCAAUGGUAUCAUACAUUUGUGAAUGGAGGUAGUAGUUAGGAUAAUAUUCAAGAAAAGCUAAGUUAUGGGAGAAGCUAAUUUAUGAAUAGAGAUAAGAUUAUUUUGUGACUUCAGAAACAUACCAUGUGUUUGGUUACCUGCGUCUGUCGAGUUUCUGUAGCCGCGGAUUCCCAAAGCACCUUUUGUUUGUUUUCCUGCAUAACACAACCGGGCUCUAAACAUGCAAAAAUCGUUUCUCAGCCAGGCUGGUCAGAUACGCGCACGAGGAGUGUAGCUGGUGGAGCAGGCCGCGUGCAUACAACCUUGGUCUGGCAUGUAUUCCUAGAACACUUUUUAUUUUGUUUUUCCAUCGUAUAUUUUAAUUGAAAUGUAUAUUUUAAUUAAAAUGUUCAAUCACUAAACCAAUUUUAGAUCUGUGUUCUUGAUAUUUUUACGAACAAAACUAGACUACACUUGCUAUAUAAAUUUUAAAGAUUUAUUUAUUUAUUUAUUUUA